This 494-nucleotide ribosomal RNA is filed under the name uncultured bacterium. RNAcentral's name for it is "bacterial SSU rRNA". It matches the Rfam family "Bacterial small subunit ribosomal RNA", at positions 33 to 507 of the family's 1533-position model. The record is from RNAcentral.
GGACGACGCUGGCGGCGUGGAUUAGGCAUGCAAGUCGGACGGUAGGGCUUUAUCGUAAGAUAGAGUUUGAGAGUGGCGAACGGGUGAGUAACACGUAGGAAUCUACCCUUAAGACGGGGACAACCCAGGGAAACUUGGGCUAAUACCGGAUGAGAGUGCGAGAGAUUGCAUUUAAAAGGAUGGCGAAAGUUGUCGCUUAGGGAUGAGCCUGCGGUCUAUUAGUUAGUUGGUGAGGUAAGAGCUCACCAAGGCGAUGAUAGAUAGGCGGCCUUAACGGGUGGUCGCCCACACUGGGAUUGAGAUACGGCCCAGACUCCUACGGGAGGCAGCAGUCGAGAAUAGUCUACAAUGGUCGGAAGACUGAUAGUGCGACGCCGCGUGAACGAUGAAUCCCUUCGGGGUGUAAAGUUCUUUUAUAUGUGAGCAGUGCUUCUUAUAUUAACAGUAUGGGGAGAGAGAUAUUAGCAUAUGAAUAAGCAACGGCUAACUCCGUG